UAGUCCACGCCGUAAACGAUGUCGACUAGCCGUUGGCAGGCUUGACCUGUUAGUGGCGCAGCUAACGCAAUAAGUCGACCGCCUGGGGAGUACGGCCGCAAGGUUAAAACUCAAAUGAAUUGACGGGGGCCCGCACAAGCGGUGGAGCAUGUGGUUUAAUUCGAUGCAACGCGAAGAACCUUACCAGGUCUUGACAUCCUGCGAAUUUUCUAGAGAUAGAUUAGUGCCUUCGGGAGCGCAGUGACAGGUGCUGCAUGGCUGUCGUCAGCUCGUGUCGUGAGAUGUUGGGUUAAGUCCCGUAACGAGCGCAACCCUUGUCCUUAGUUGCCAGCACAUUAUGGUGGGAACUCUAAGGGAGACUGCCGGUGACAAACCGGGAGGAAGGGUGGGGGACGACGUCAAGUCAUCAUGGCCCUUAC
RNAcentral lists this ribosomal RNA (419 nucleotides) under uncultured bacterium. RNAcentral's name for it is "bacterial SSU rRNA". It matches the Rfam family "Bacterial small subunit ribosomal RNA", at positions 791 to 1205 of the family's 1533-position model. The record is from RNAcentral.